RNAcentral lists this ribosomal RNA (781 nucleotides) under uncultured organism. Its description in RNAcentral is "bacterial SSU rRNA". It matches the Rfam family "Bacterial small subunit ribosomal RNA", at positions 28 to 812 of the family's 1533-position model. The record is from RNAcentral.
GAUGAACGCUAGCGGCGCGCUUAACGCAUGCAAGUCGAGCGAUGAGGCUCCCUUCGGGGAGUACAUCAGCGGCAGACGGGUGAGUAACACGUAGAUAACCUGCCCUCAAGACGGGGACAACCGGUGGAAACAGCGGCUAAUACCCGAUAUGCUCACAGGAUCGGGAGGUCGAGUGAGGAAAGCGCCCCUUCGGGGGAGAGUGUUUGAGGAGGGAUCUGCGGCCCAUCAGCUAGUUGGUGAGGUAACGGCUCACCAAGGCGAAGACGGGUAGGGGGUGUGAGAGCAUGGCCCCCCACAAUGGGGACUGAGACACGGCCCAUACUCCUACGGGAGGCAGCAGCGGGGAAUAUUGCGCAAUGGACGGAAGUCAGACGCAGCGACGCCGCGUGGGUGAGGAAGGCCUUCGGGUUGUAAAGCCCUUUUCAGGGGAGCGAGAAAGGACGGUACCCUUGGAAUAAGCGUCGGCUAACUACGUGCCAGCAGCCGCGGUAAGACGUAGGACGCAAGCGUUAUCCGGAUUUACUGGGCGUAAAGCGCCUGUAGGCGGUCAAGUAAGUCGGAUGUGAAAGCCCCGUGCUCAACGCGGGGAAGCCAUUCGAUACUGCGUGACUAGAGAACGGCAGAGGGAAACGGAAUUUCUGGUGUAGCGGUAAAAUGCGCAGAGAUCAGAAAGAACACCGAUGGCGAAGGCAGUUUCCUAGGCCGCAUCUGACGCUGAGAGGCGAAAGCUAGGGGAGCAAACAGGAUUAGAGACCCUGGUAGUCCUAGCUGUAAACGAUGG